GAUGAAGAACGUAGCGAAAUGCGAUAAGUAAUGUGAAUUGCAGAAUUCAGUGAAUCAUCGAAUCUUUGAACGCACAUUGCGCCCGCUGGUAUUCCGGCGGGCAUGCCUGUUCGAGCGUCAUUACACCCCUCAAGCUCAGCUUGGUGUUGGGCCCCGCCGCCCCGGCGGGCCCUAAAGUCAGUGGCGGUGCCGUCCGGCUCCGAGCGUAGUAAUUCUUCUCGCUCUGGAGGUCCGGUCGUGUGCUCGCCAGCAACCCCCAAUUUGUUUCAGGUUGACCUCGGAUCAGGUAGGGAUACCCGCUGAACUUAAGCAUAUCAAUAAGCGGAGGA
RNAcentral lists this unclassified non-coding RNA (329 nucleotides) under soil metagenome. RNAcentral's name for it is "partial contains 5.8S ribosomal RNA, internal transcribed spacer 2, and large subunit ribosomal RNA". The stretch from base 1 to 120 matches the Rfam family "5.8S ribosomal RNA", at positions 35 to 154 of the family's 154-position model. The record is from RNAcentral.